Acanthosepion pharaonis is the source of this 96-nucleotide non-coding RNA. Lineage: Eukaryota; Metazoa; Mollusca; Cephalopoda; Sepiida; Sepiidae. The record is from the annotation of a GenBank genome assembly.
CGGCCGUAUCACCUUGAAACACCGGUUCUCGCACGAUCACCGAAGUUAAGCAACGUCGAGCCUAGUCAGUACCUAGAUGGGUGACCUCCUGCAAGC